This 700-nucleotide long non-coding RNA is filed under the name Brassica rapa (field mustard). RNAcentral's name for it is "long non-coding RNA (BRAP_LNC006351)". Lineage: Eukaryota; Viridiplantae; Streptophyta; Magnoliopsida; Brassicales; Brassicaceae. The record is from RNAcentral.
UCGUAGCCUUUAAAUUCAUAGUGGGGAAUCUAAAAUCGACGGUACGGACGCAAUUUGCUUCGUAUGCCCCCAGUAAUUUUAUCCGUAAUCAGUUCGAUGCUCCUAUGCCCAGUCAGCUCCUGUUUAUUUUUUUACUUCUCGGUAAAUAUUUAUGUCUAUUUUCUACAAAUUUAAAUUUGAACUUUAAUAUUGGGUAUAUAUCGUCUAACCUCUAUGAAUGUCAAAAAAGUUAUUUACUUUUAUUAAAAAAUCAAGGAAUAUUGUUUAUAUGUAAGGAUUGGGAAUGUCACUAAACUGGUUGUACCUUGCCUUUGGAUUCUCACUAAGCAUAUGUGCAGAUGGCAUAUUCAGGUCUAUCUCCUUUUAGUCUGCACCUUCUCUUGUGUUUUUGUUGAUGAAGGAAAAGUUUAAAAAAUCAUAGGUCUAUCCCAAGAGUAAGGUAAGAGCUGUACAAAAAGCGUACCGAACCAUCAGGAGAAGUCUAAUCACAUAUUAAGAAUCUACUAUAUUACAGAAAUUAAGCAAAUCCAUUUUGAUAAAUUGAAGCAAAUAAAACAAUCAAAACAAACUCAAAAGUCCAAAUCAAAAGCUAACAUAGGGUAUGACUGGUUUUCCCGCUACCACCCGCAAACGCAGCUUUUGCGGUUGGUAGCGGUUAUUGGCGUUUUGCAACAAUCGGUCAAACCGCUCCAAACCGUUC